Sapajus apella (tufted capuchin) is the source of this 2201-nucleotide long non-coding RNA. RefSeq lists it as uncharacterized. NCBI's taxonomy places the organism in Eukaryota, Metazoa, Chordata, Mammalia, Primates, Cebidae. The transcript is spliced from 2 exons. The record is from RefSeq and is a predicted model, not a curated record.
CAGCAUGCACCUCCCUCCCGAGACGCUCUCUGCUUCCGGCGCUCUGCUGCGGAGGCGGUGGCCGCGGGUUUUUGGGAGGAACGGUUGUUUGCGCUGGGGAAGGCGAGUUGCGAGCUCUCCAGCGUCGCUGUCAGGCGGGGGAGAAGGAGGCUUAACCCCUUUGCCACCUAAUAGGGCUUUUCAUCCCACCGGGCCCCAGGGCUUAGGAGUUCAGCAGGCUCAGCACCUUGCUGAGUCUGGAAAAGAGAGUGACCGCCUGGGACGUCAGACGGCCCCGAGGGAGGGGCUUGUGGGAGCGGCGUCGCCGGGAUGGCCGGGCACGUGGUCCUGGUGGCCGUGGUGACCCCGUGGACCCACAUUUACAGCUGUAGCCACCGAGUGCGGCGGAGUGGUGAGGGUCGUGAUCCUGGGACCUGCUCGAGGGUUCACCCUUGCUGCCAGAACCCGUUCCCUUCUCAGGAACGAGGGUGGUCAGGCAGAGGAGAGGAACGGGGCCUCAGCCCUCUAGUGACAGCAGUUUGCCACCUAAUAGCGCUUUUCAGAUUUUGCCUCCUCAGGCCAUUUUACCCAGCCUCGGGCUAUGAGGGAUGGUCACAUUGAAGGUAUUUUUCUGCAGUCGGGAGCGAAAACUCCCUACUAUUGAAGGAGAAACUGAAUCUGGUUCAGGAGUCCCAGAUUCCGCCCUCCGAGAGGCCAGGUGGGGCCUGCGUGAGGAGCAGCUGUACAGGUGGCUGUACACUGCUGUUUUCAUCCCGCCAGGCCCCAGGCCCCUGAUUAGGGGCCCAGACUGCUUAUCUCCUUGCUUCAGUCUGGAAAAGGGAGUGACCCCAUAGCCCAGCACCUGUGAGAUACUUCACUGCCCAUUCAUCACCCCUAUGAUGCUGAUUCUUCCAGAAGAUGUUUCUGACUCUUUGCUAGGCUGGUGGUUGCACCGGAGCCGAGAGGACUCAAGAAGAAUCUGCUCUCUGCUUCACCUAGGCGUCCCGGAGAAGUAAGAAUCCAUGUCUUCCCUGUCCUGGGUACUUGGCUGCUGGUUUGCCCAGGUGCCACAUAGGGGUGUGUAGCAGAGCUGAGGCUGGCCCAGUAUCCUGGCUUUCCUUGGAAGCCUGUGUUGUGCCAUUCUCCCAGGCUGAUAAAAUCUGCAGAGCUAACAGCUUCCUGCAGCCACCUCUGUGUCCAAGGCUGGACUCAUGCCCGUAGCCAGAUUCCCAGGAUCUGGAAGGCCAAGAGACAGCUGGUGCCGGGUUGGCAGCAGCCCUGCAUCAGCACGCCCGCUGCCAGCACCCCAUGCUGGGAUUUGCCUGUGUGGUCUGCCCCCGCCCAAACCGGUAUUGAAAUUUGAUCCCCAAUGUGGCAGUGUUGGGAGGUGGUGCCUAGUAGGAGGAGUUUGGGUAAUAGGGUGGAUCCCUCGAAGAGAUGAGUACCCUGUGUGGAGGGGUGAGCCCCCAUGAGAGCUGGUUAGAGAGGCAGCCUUCCUGGAGUUGUCUGUGGCUUUCUCUGCUGCCAUGCCAUCUCCAUGCAUGCCCCUCCCCUUCCAUUUCUGCAUGAGUUGAAGCAGUUGCAGCUGCCCAAUCUUGAAAUUUCCAUCAGAAUUUUGUGCCAAAUAAACCUGCUUUGCGUUUUUCUAAACAACUGUUCAGCCUCGGGUAUAGCAGCAUGAAACAGACUAAGACAUUAUGGCCUGUGGUCCCAUCCAUUACCCCAGGGUGCAGAGGUGUUCCCUCAGCCAUGAAGGACGACAUUCCCCUCUGGCCCCUGGGGUACCUCGAGGGGUUGUAAGCAGCUUAUGUUGGUGGGAUGAGAAGGGGUUUGGAGGGCAGCUGGUUCAUGACCCCAGCCACCUCAACUGCAGGUUCUUGGUCUGAAGUACUGUGAUUAAAGCAUCACAGCCCCGGGGCCCUUGCCAAAGGAGGGAACAGCAUCUGGUGCCUCAGUGAGGGUUAUAGGAAGAUGAAGGGCCUUCAGGCAUGACUAGUUCCCACCGUGACCCCACUGCUGGCUGGUGCACUGAAAUACAUCUGACCACUUGUUUCUCAAGUUCAUGGGUGCUGAGGAGCCCUGUGAAAUCAGCCCUAUCUCAUCCUGCUGCCCGUCUUGUUCUGCAGGGAAAUGUUCCCUGGCUUCCUCACCAGGGAUCUCUUCUGAACUUUACGUCUCUGUUCAGGGGGCAAUAACUGUGUUGGUCAUUGCAUUCUCAUGGC